Non-coding RNA from Vicia faba (fava bean), 285 nucleotides. The record is from the annotation of a GenBank genome assembly. NCBI's taxonomy places the organism in Eukaryota, Viridiplantae, Streptophyta, Magnoliopsida, Fabales, Fabaceae.
AUGAAUUGGUACGAUCUUCAGCAAAAAGCAUUUGUAGCAUGUAAAGAGAAGAGAGGUUCUUUUACCAUUUCCGAUCAAAAGGAGCUCCUCAUUUUUCCUAAGCCACUUCAAGUUGGAGUUAUAUUGGAGAAGCACAUGGGUGUGUUUGCUAAUCAAGUAGACUCAUCUCCUCCAUUUUUGUGUGUGUCUCCACCAGUUCGGACAUCAAAUCCCUUGGUCCAGGAUGAUCGAUUUAAAGAUGAGAUAGGUUUGGCAUCUUCAACUUUCGUAUCUUGCAAAACAUGA